RNAcentral lists this non-coding RNA (87 nucleotides) under Anas platyrhynchos (mallard). RNAcentral's name for it is "miRNA (ENSAPLG00020013475.1)". The stretch from base 10 to 77 matches the Rfam family "mir-33 microRNA precursor family". RNAcentral also lists the same sequence under 10 other names. The record is from RNAcentral. Lineage: Eukaryota; Metazoa; Chordata; Aves; Anseriformes; Anatidae.
CGGCCCUCGCGGGGGUGCAUUGUAGUUGCAUUGCAUGUGUCAGACUGGGAGUGCAAUGCCCCUGCCAUGCAGCCCGGCGGGGGUCCC